CGGGCGUUAAGUUGCAGGGUAUAGACCCGAAACCCGGUGAUCUAGCCAUGGGCAGGUUGAAGGUUGGGUAACACUAACUGGAGGACCGAACCGACUAAUGUUGAAAAAUUAGCGGAUGACCUGUGGCUGGGGGUGAAAGGCCAAUCAAACCGGGAGAUAGCUGGUUCUCCCCGAAAGCUAUUUAGGUAGCGCCUCGUGAAUUCAUCUCCGGGGGUAGAGCACUGUUUCGGCUAGGGGGCCAUCCCGGCUUACCAACCCGAUGCAAACUGCGAAUACCGGAGAAUGUUAUCACGGGAGACACACGGCGGGUGCUAACGUCCGUCGUGAAGAGGGAAACAACCCAGACCGCCAGCUAAGGUCCCAAAGUCAUGGUUAAGUGGGAAACGAUGUGGGAAGGCCCAGACAGCCAGGAUGUUGGCUUAGAAGCAGCCAUCAUUUAAAGAAAGCGUAAUAGCUCACUGGUCGAGUCGGCCUGCGCGGAAGAUGUAACGGGGCUAAACCAUGCACCGAAGCUGCGGCAGCGACACUCAGGUGUUGUUGGGUAGGGGAGCGUUCUGUAAGCCUGCGAAGGUGGCCUGUGAGGGUUGCUGGAGGUAUCAGAAGUGCGAAUGCUGACAUAAGUAACGAUAAAGCGGGUGAAAAGCCCGCUCGCCGGAAGACCAAGGGUUCCUGUCCAACGUUAAUCGGGGCAGGGUGAGUCGACCCCUAAGGCGAGGCCGAAAGGCGUAGUCGAUGGGAAACGGGUUAAUAUUCCCGUACUUGGUGUUACUGCGAAGGGGGGACGGAGAAGGCUAUGUUGGCCGGGCGACGGUU
This 813-nucleotide ribosomal RNA is filed under the name Salmonella enterica. RNAcentral's name for it is "partial 23S ribosomal RNA". It matches the Rfam family "Bacterial large subunit ribosomal RNA", at positions 689 to 1503 of the family's 2925-position model. The record is from RNAcentral. Lineage: Bacteria; Pseudomonadati; Pseudomonadota; Gammaproteobacteria; Enterobacterales; Enterobacteriaceae.